CCUACGGGAGGCAGCAGUGGGGAAUAUUGGACAAUGGGCGAAAGCCUGAUCCAGCAAUGCCGCGUGAGUGAUGAAGGCCUUCGGGUCGUAAAGCUCUUUUACCAGGGAUGAUAAUGACAGUACCUGGAGAAUAAGCUCCGGCUAACUCCGUGCCAGCAGCCGCGGUAAUACGGAGGGAGCUAGCGUUGUUCGGAAUUACUGGGCGUAAAGAGUACGUAGGCGGUUAUUCAAGUCAGAGGUGAAAGCCCGGGGCUCAACCCCGGAACUGCCUUUGAAACUAGAUAACUAGAGUCUUGGAGAGGUUAGUGGAAUUCCGAGUGUAGAGGUGAAAUUCGUAGAUAUUCGGAAGAACACCAGUGGCGAAGGCGACUAACUGGACAAGUACUGACGCUGAGGUACGAAAGCGUGGGGAGCAAACAGGAUUAGAUACCCUGGUAGUCCACGCCGUAAACGAUGAUAACUAGUUGUUCGGUCACUUGGUGACUGAGUGACGCAGCUAACGCAUUAAGUUAUCCGCCUGGGGAGUACGGGUCGCAAGAUUAAAACUCAAAGGAAUUGACGG
Molecule: ribosomal RNA, 562 nt
Filed under: uncultured bacterium
Lineage: Bacteria
Description: bacterial SSU rRNA
Rfam family: Bacterial small subunit ribosomal RNA
Source: RNAcentral